This 1276-nucleotide long non-coding RNA is filed under the name Papio anubis (olive baboon). RNAcentral describes it as "lncRNA (ENSPANG00000045043.1)". Lineage: Eukaryota; Metazoa; Chordata; Mammalia; Primates; Cercopithecidae. The record is from RNAcentral.
GCAAAUCAGAUACCACCUCCUCCAGCCUGUACAUAUACCUGGCAGGUAUCCAUCCCACUUGGGGUUUCCUCUUUUGGCUUUGGAGACCCCCCUGUCUGUCUCUGUACAGGGGAGCCUCUUCCUUUUGUCUUCUCCCUUCCUUCUUGCCUAUUAACCUCUCUGCUCCUUAAAACUACUCCACGUGAGUCUGUGUCAUUUUUUUCUAAUUUGACUCGAGAUGAAGAACCUGGUGUUCCUCCACGAAUCGGAGCUGCAUCAUUUUCACGGGCUGGUAACAAGAAUAGAGAGCCAUCCACAGCCACAAGACGCAGAACCUCUUCUGGCAAAACGGUCCUGCCUCACCCAGAGAGCAUCAAAAACCCACCGUCUUCCCUGCUGCUGUCAUUAGGAACCAGGAGGCAUAUGACUGGGGCUUCUCCAGCCCUCUUCACUCCAUCCCUCUGAACAUGGUGGCCACAGUUAAGUGUUGGGAUUUUGAAUAGGUUGAGCUGAUUAUUAUGAAUUUUCAAGAGGUGGAGCUGAUUAUUAGUGUGAGUUCUGGGACUCCUAAGAAAUUAUCAGAUAAAGAUAGUACAUUUUUUUCCUCAGGUAUCAGUAACAUAUGGAUCAUAGAAGCCUGAGAUGGUGAGUGGAAUCUGAAAAUGAAAUCUAACAUUUACCAAAGACACAGAGAAGGAGAGAGACUGGAUUCAUUAUUCCGGCCUCUGAGUCUAGUCAGUCAGUUCUACUCUUGGGCUUCGUAGUUCUAUUCAUCAGUGAAUUCUUCUGUUUUGUUGAAAGCAGAUUGAGCAGGGCUUCCAGAAACCUGCACCCUAAGGAGCAUCAGCUGGUACAGAGAACCUGACCGAACCCACCGCUGUGUUUGACUGUGAAUGAGAGGAGGCACACAGAGAGGGCAGCCCACCAGGCAGGUGUGUCUCACAUCACUGAGGAGCCCUUUUCAUUCAAAGAUGAUCAGCUUAUAAAACACCAGUGAUGGGAAGUCCCAGGCAGGUCCCCCAGGACCUACAGCAGGGGCCAGCCAAGAAUGGCCAGCCGUCUCUCUACUGGGUCAGAAAGAAAUAACGAAAGGGGCUGAACUUGGCCGUGUGAGCUGUCAGCAUGGACGCCAGACCAGACCAAAAUCCAGAUUCCGACGGCUGCUCCCUAUAGCAGUGGAAACCCCAAACACAGAGAAGACAAAGCAACAGAGCAACUUCCUUACCCAGACCACGGGCAGCCCCAUCCUUCUCCAUCCCUCAGGUUGCUUGGUUACUGGACAUUGGCUUUGACUAUG